AUUCAUCUGACGAGUCCUAAAUGGGACGAAACGAUCGUCCCAAAU
Non-coding RNA from Schistosoma mansoni, 45 nucleotides. The record is from Rfam. NCBI's taxonomy places the organism in Eukaryota, Metazoa, Platyhelminthes, Trematoda, Strigeidida, Schistosomatidae.